AUGGCCUCCUCAAGCUCUGCUGUCGCCGCGCCUGCCCUCAUCCCCAUAGCCGACCGACUCCAUCGCUCCAACUUUCUGGUAUGGCGCGCGCAAGCCAUGGCAGCCAUCCGUGGGGCGCAGCUCGUCUCCUACCUUGAUCCAGAUCGGGAGCAGCCGGAGCAGAAGCUCCACGACAAGGACGGCAAGCCCACGGACGUGCCCAACCCUGCAUACGACAUCGCAAGGCUCGAGAUUCUCAGCUUUGAAAGCAAGUUGGCCAUGUUUGAAGGCGGAGGGCAGUCCUCCCACUCCUCUGCCAAUGCCGUGUCUCACGGCGGACGCGGUGGAUCCAACCGUGGCGGUGGCCGCGGUGGCAACGGUGGCCGCAAUGGAGGCGGCCAUGGCAACGGCGGCGGCGGUCGUGGUCGCGGCGGCGGCCGCGGCGGCGGCCGCGGCAAUGGAGGAGGCCGCAACGAUCUGCCUGAGGUCUUCUGCCAAAUCUGCACCAAGCCAAAUCACACGACCAUGGAGUGCUAUCGUCGCUUUGACAUCUCCUUCAACAAGGAGAAAAGUGCAGCAGCCGUCAACACCAAAUCCUCCUACGGGGCAUACGCUUCAAGCCAUCUUUCAGACGGGAGCGAGUGCACUGUCAUGCCAGACCUCUCAAUUCAACGUAGCAUUAGGAUCAUGAAGAUGUCAGGUUUUUCCUACCACCAUUCUGUUCAUGAAGGGAAAAAAUAUACUCAUCUUUUGCGACGACAAGGCAGGUAA
RNAcentral lists this ribosomal RNA (750 nucleotides) under Triticum aestivum (bread wheat). RNAcentral's name for it is "partial small subunit ribosomal RNA". The record is from RNAcentral. Lineage: Eukaryota; Viridiplantae; Streptophyta; Magnoliopsida; Poales; Poaceae.